ACGAACGCUGGCGGCGUGCUUAACACAUGCAAGUCGAACGGAAAGGCCCCCUUGUGGGGUACUCGAGUGGCGAACGGGUGAGUAACACGUGAGUAACCUACCCUUGACUUUGGGAUAACUUCAGGAAACUGGGGCUAAUACCGGAUAGGAGCUCCUGCUGCAUGGUGGGGGUUGGAAAGUUUCGGCGGUUGGGGAUGGGCUCGCGGCUUAUCAGCUUGUUGGUGGGGUAGUGGCUCACCAAGGCUUUGACGGGUAGCCGGCCUGAGAGGGUGACCGGCCACAUUGGGACUGAGAUACGGCCCAGACUCCUACGGGAGGCAGCAGUGGGGAAUAUUGCACAAUGGGCGGAAGCCUGAUGCAGCAACGCCGCGUGCGGGAUGACGGCCUUCGGGUUGUAAACCGCUUUCGCCUGUGACGAAGCGUUAGUGACGGUAAUGGGUAAAGAAGCACCGGCUAACUACGUG
This 464-nucleotide ribosomal RNA is filed under the name uncultured bacterium. Its description in RNAcentral is "partial 16S ribosomal RNA". It matches the Rfam family "Bacterial small subunit ribosomal RNA", at positions 29 to 507 of the family's 1533-position model. The record is from RNAcentral.